Molecule: ribosomal RNA, 501 nt
Filed under: Clostridium sp. AL02-8
Lineage: Bacteria; Bacillati; Bacillota; Clostridia; Eubacteriales; Clostridiaceae
Description: bacterial SSU rRNA
Source: RNAcentral
GGUAGCUGGCGGCGUGCCUUCACAUGCAAGUCGGAGCGAUUUCUUUCGGAUGAAAGCAGCCGCGACGACGGUGUGUAUCACGCUGUGGUGUCCCCUGCCUCAUACACAUGAGUAUCAUAUCCCAAAGUGUAUUCUUAUACGGAGUAUCAUAUAAGAGAUUCACUGUCUAUCUCUUAUCAAAGCUCCCGCGUACAUGAUAUGCACCCGCUCUCUGAUUAGCUUUUUGGUAGUGUUGCGGCUUACCAGCGCCACUAUCUAUCCCCCAUCUGAGGGGGUUAUCCCCCACUUUGACUCUGACACACUCCCCACUCUUCCACGGGACGCCACUGUGGGAUAUUUUGCACUGUGGGCAAACCUCUUAUGCCACCACCCCGCGUGAGAUAUAAGCGUCUUCGUCUCAUAAAUCUCUCCUCUCAGAGAAUAUUAUCACUGCUCUUGGAGAAAACCCCCCCUAUCUCCACGUCCCCACCCCCGCUAUUAUACAUGGGGCUCUAGUUUUCU